ACGGAAGGCAGCAGUGGGGGAUAUUGCACAAUGGAGGAAACUCUGAUGCAGCAACGCCGCGUGAGGGAAGAAGGUCUUCGGAUUGUAAACCUCUGUUUUCGGUGAAGAACAAAUGACGGUAGCCGAAGAGGAAGCCACGGCUAACUACGUGCCAGCAGCCGCGGUAAUACGUAGGUGGCAAGCGUUGUCCGGAUUUACUGGGUGUAAAGGGUGCGCAGGCGGGACUGCAAGUUGGAUGUGAAAUACCGAGGCUUAACCUCGGAGCUGCAUCCAAAACUGUGGUUCUUGAGUGGAGUAGAGGUAAGCGGAAUUCCGAGUGUAGCGGUGAAAUGCGUAGAUAUUCGGAGGAACACCAGUGGCGAAGGCGGCUUACUGGGCUCUAACUGACGCUGAGGCACGAAAGUGUGGGUAGCGAACAGGAUUAGAUACCCUGGUA
RNAcentral lists this ribosomal RNA (436 nucleotides) under uncultured Ethanoligenens sp. Its description in RNAcentral is "partial 16S ribosomal RNA". It matches the Rfam family "Bacterial small subunit ribosomal RNA", at positions 341 to 792 of the family's 1533-position model. Lineage: Bacteria; Bacillati; Bacillota; Clostridia; Eubacteriales; Oscillospiraceae. The record is from RNAcentral.